GUACACGCUGUGACUAGCAUAUCAAUAAGCGGAGGAAAAGAAACUAACAAGGAUUCCCCUAGUAACGGCGAGUGAAGCGGGAAGAGCUCAAAUUUGAAAUCUUAAAGGGUUUCCCUUUACGAAUUGUAGUUUAAAGAAGUGUUUUCUGUUGAGGUUUUGGUAAAAGUUCUUUGGAAUAGGACAUCAUAGAGGGUGAGAAUCCCGUAUUUGACCUUUACUUUCAACUUUGUGAUACACUUUCAAAGAGUCGGAUUGUUUGGGAAUGCAGUCCAAAAUGGGUGGUAAAUUUCAUCUAAAGCUAAAUAUUGGCGAUGAGACCGAUAGCGAACAAGUACCGUGAGGGAAAGAUGAAAAGAACUUUGAAAAGAGAGUUAAACAGUACGUGGAAUUGUCAAAAGGGAAGCGUUUGACACCAGUGUUGUUUUUCUGAAAAUCAAUUAAAGAACUGUUUAUGCUAAGCUGUUUAGACUUUAUCAGCUAACUGUUUAGUUUUGAGCUUUUCUUUAAUGCACUUUUCAGUUAACAAGUCAACAUCAAUUUCUUUUGCUGUAAAAAAGCUUGAGGAAGGUGGCUUGAGAUUCGUCUUAAGUGUUUAUAGCCUCUUGCCUAUGCAGUCGGAGAGAUUGAGGUCUGCAGCGUAGAUCCUUCGGGGCUAAAUGCAUUUGUGCUAAGUUAUAGCAUUUUAUAGACAACUUGUUGACUAUGAUUUGUCUUGUAGCUUACUCGCUUAUGUUAUUUUACCUACGCUUAGGAUGUUGAAGAUGUAGCCAUCAU
Molecule: ribosomal RNA, 774 nt
Filed under: uncultured Neocallimastigales
Lineage: Eukaryota; Fungi; Neocallimastigomycota; Neocallimastigomycetes; Neocallimastigales
Description: partial large subunit ribosomal RNA
Rfam family: Eukaryotic large subunit ribosomal RNA
Source: RNAcentral